This 253-nucleotide ribosomal RNA is filed under the name uncultured bacterium. RNAcentral describes it as "partial 16S ribosomal RNA". It matches the Rfam family "Bacterial small subunit ribosomal RNA", at positions 524 to 776 of the family's 1533-position model. The record is from RNAcentral.
UACGUAGAGUGCGAGCGUUAAUCGGAAUUACUGGGCGUAAAGUGUGCGCAGGCGGCCGCGCAAGUCGAGUGUGAAAGCCCCGGGCUUAACUUGGGAAUUGCGCUCGAAACUACGUGGCUGGAGUGUGGCAGAGGAAGGUGGAAUUCCAGGUGUAGCGGUGAAAUGCGUAGAGGUCUGGAGGAACACCGAUGGCGAAGGCAGCCUUCUGGGCCAACACUGACGCUCAUGCACGAAAGCGUGGGGAGCAAACAGG